AGCUGCAGUCGAGAUCAUUCGCAUGGGCGAAGCCUGACGAUGCGACGCCGUGUGGACGAUGAAGGCCUUCGGGUUGUAAAGUCCUUUCGCCAGGGAACAAGAGAGAGCAACUAAUAAUUGCUCAAUUUGAGGGUACCUGGUGAAGGAGCACCGGCUAACUCC
RNAcentral lists this ribosomal RNA (162 nucleotides) under uncultured Chlamydiales bacterium. Its description in RNAcentral is "partial 16S ribosomal RNA". It matches the Rfam family "Bacterial small subunit ribosomal RNA", at positions 347 to 504 of the family's 1533-position model. Lineage: Bacteria; Pseudomonadati; Chlamydiota; Chlamydiia; Chlamydiales. The record is from RNAcentral.